UGUGGUGAGAUGGUGUUAAACCAUCACCACUGUGUGCAGCAGGUGUUGCUCAGAGCACAGCCCUGAUUGAUGGGCGUGGCAGACUGCUAUAUAUUUGGGCAGUUUGCUGUUCCUUGACUGAGAUUCUGUUGUUCCUGCUGUGUGUGUGGCAGGUGGUCACAAAACCUGCUCAUCUGUCACUGUUUUGCUGGCUGCAGCCAGGAUUGUUUGCAGCAUAUGGCUUCCUCCUGCUGCUGUUCUGUUGGACCUCUGUCCUCUGGAGUCUGCGCUUCUGAUUCCUGGCUUGUGCUCUGCACUACCGUGCGUAAUGCUUUGACAUGCAGUGAAAGCUCUGAUGCGCCGGGACGCUCUGCUGUCUUGUCUUGUCGUUCCUGUUUGGAUUUUAUUGCAGUGAUCAGCCUGCUUCACCACUGCUGCUACUGCUGAUCCAACAGCUAAAGGACUGAACAG
Molecule: long non-coding RNA, 450 nt
Organism: Austrofundulus limnaeus
Lineage: Eukaryota; Metazoa; Chordata; Actinopteri; Cyprinodontiformes; Rivulidae
Exons: 3
Source: RefSeq, a predicted model, not a curated record